This 712-nucleotide ribosomal RNA is filed under the name Campeiostachys dahurica var. cylindrica. Its description in RNAcentral is "eukaryotic LSU rRNA". The stretch from base 281 to 436 matches the Rfam family "5.8S ribosomal RNA". The record is from RNAcentral. Lineage: Eukaryota; Viridiplantae; Streptophyta; Magnoliopsida; Poales; Poaceae.
GGAAGUAAAAGUCGUAACAAGGUUUCCGUAGGUGAACCUGCGGAAGGAUCAUUGUCGUGACCCUGACCAAAACAGACCGCGCACGCGUCAUCCAAUCCGUCGGUGACGGCAUCGUCCGUCGCUCGGCCAAUGCCUCGACCACCUCCCCUCCUCGGAGUGGGUGGGGGCUCGGGGUAAAAGAACCCACGGCGCCGAAGGCGUCAAGGAACACUGUGCCUAACCCGGGGGCAUGGCUAGCCUGCUAGCCAUCCCUCGUGUUGCAAAGCUAUUUAAUCCACACGACUCUCGGCAACGGAUAUCUCGGCUCUCGCAUCGAUGAAGAACGUAGCGAAAUGCGAUACCUGGUGUGAAUUGCAGAAUCCCGCGAACCAUCGAGUCUUUGAACGCAAGUUGCGCCCGAGGCCACUCGGCCGAGGGCACGCCUGCCUGGGCGUCACGCCAAAACACGCUCCCAACACCCCUCAUCGGGAAUCGGGAUGCGGCAUCUGGUCCCUCGUCUCGCAAGGGGCGGUGGACCGAAGAUCGGGCUGCCGGCGUACCGCGCCGGACACAGCGCAUGGUGGGCGUCCUCGCUUUAUCAACGCAGUGCAUCCGACGCGCAGCCGGCAUGAUGGCCUCAAAACGACCCAGCAAACGAAGCGCACGUCGCUUCGACCGCGACCCCAGGUCAGGCGGGACUACCCGCUGAGUUUAAGCAUCAAUAAGCGGAGGA